Non-coding RNA from Pelobates cultripes (western spadefoot toad), 232 nucleotides. The record is from the annotation of a GenBank genome assembly. Lineage: Eukaryota; Metazoa; Chordata; Amphibia; Anura; Pelobatidae.
UUUAAAUGUCUGCUUGCUAAUGCAAGAAGCUUGUGAAGGAAAAUAGGGGAGCUUGAGAUAUUGGCAUAUAAGGAGCAGAAUUACAUAGUUGGGAUUCCUGAGACUUGAUGGGAUGAAACACUUGAUUGGGCCAUUAAAGGACCACUAUAGUGCCAGGAAAACAAACUCGUUUUCCUGGCACUAAAGUGCCCUGAGAGUGCCCCCACCCUCAGGGUCCUCCUCCCGCCGGGCU